ACUAUAUAUUUGUCCAACAUAUCUACGGAUUGAAUAGUCCGUAAAAAAGCUAGAUCAUUAUUGUUCCUCUUAAUGCAAUGACAUUAUUCUAAAAAUGUGUUUUCAAAAUUUAUCGACCUGGCACACUUUAAUAAGAUGAGGGCCGCUCAUGCAUUUAAUUAUUAUUAAUUUUUUAUUAUAACUUAUCAAGUUACAAAUACAAGGAUUUUAAUUUUAUUAGUCUACUAAUAAAGGGCUCAUUUUCCCCUAAGACCUUCAAAGUAUAUGGAGAUGGACAGGGCACAGAAUCUGAAGCUGGUAAACACCAAAAAAAAAAAAACCCUCAGCUGGUGUGGCGCGCAGAAGUCAAGUCCACUCCGCUGGCAGCUAGCAGUUCGGGGACACGUUGGUGCCGACGUGGCGACGUGUCAGCCGGUCCAUGCAUGCACGCGUUCGUAUGCGUGGGUUUCCAUUCCAAUGAACAGCUCCCGG
RNAcentral lists this long non-coding RNA (471 nucleotides) under Sorghum bicolor (sorghum). Its description in RNAcentral is "long non-coding RNA (SBIC_LNC015208)". Lineage: Eukaryota; Viridiplantae; Streptophyta; Magnoliopsida; Poales; Poaceae. The record is from RNAcentral.